Long non-coding RNA from Triticum dicoccoides, 2372 nucleotides. RefSeq lists it as uncharacterized. NCBI's taxonomy places the organism in Eukaryota, Viridiplantae, Streptophyta, Magnoliopsida, Poales, Poaceae. The record is from RefSeq and is a predicted model, not a curated record. The transcript is spliced from 2 exons.
CACCUCGACCCUGGCCAGGCCGAGCCAAAUCCCCCCGGCCGCCGCCGCACCACUCGCCACCGCGCCCGACCUCAACCCGCCCGCCGCCGCGGCUGCACCUCUGCCUGCUCGCGGGCCUCCACCCAUGCGCCCCGCUUUGCGAUGCAACGCGCGACGUCCUCCGCUGCCAAAUCAGCGCCCAUCGGGCCACACUCUGCACCGGCUGCCCCACGCUCGCCGAGAUCCUCCGCAUCCUCUCCGUGAAGCGGCGUCGUCACGGGUGGACUUCGAUGCCUGGCUCGCCUACAACCUCCCCCAAAUCCUACAUGAGGUUCAGGCAUACUGCCUUGAUUAUGGUGACCACCACCAAUCCACCACUUGGCUGGCUGUCUUUAUAUUGUCACAUUGAUGGACUGUUACAUGGUACAUGGAAAUCUGAAGUCAUUUUUACAUAUUUGCACACAUGAAUGGCAUGCUUGCCGAUGGAAAGUGCGGCUUUCGGGUCAGCCCUUCAUGACAUUGAUUGUGUGCUACUGCUGCUGAUUUUGCUGCUGCUUAAUACUAACCUAUACUGCUGCUGAUUUAGUUGCAAAUUGAACUUACUAUCUGUUAUCUUUUCUCUAAUAUUUCUCAAGAUCAGAUCCUCUUUUUAGCUCUCUAUUGCAAAAUUACUUAAUAUACAAUGUGUUCAAUAAAAAUCAUGAAACACUUAACUCCUUAUUGAUUUCAUUGUCCCUUUUCCUUACAAUUUUCCGUCUAAUGUGUGUCGCUUCCAAUUGCAUUGAAGAUAUAUUAUUAUUUUUCACAAAAAAGAAAGUAUGAUUUCAACGUCAUCUGCCUAUGCUCCACCUGGGGUACGACGUUGUACAACUUGAUUACUAUAUUUUAUAUGAUCAGACCAUGAAUAGCCUUGAAGUAGCACACCCCUUGCUGUUGUAACUAUUACACCGUCGUAUAAUAUGAGUAUGAGAUUCUACAUGAUCAAACAAUGUAUAGCCUUGAAGUAUCAAGUUCCCUUGCUGUUGUAACUUUCAACAUGGAUUUUUGCUAUUGUUCUAUUGCUUAACAUGAUUUCUGAUACGUAAUAACUACUCCCUCUGUUUUUUAAAUAUAAGUCUUUUUAGAGAUUUCAAUACGAACAACAUAUGGAUGUAUAUAGACGUUUUUUAGAGUUUAGAUUCACUCAUUUUGCUCCGUAUAUAGUCUAUAGUGGAAUCUCUAGAAAGACAUAUAUUUAGGAACGGAGGGAGUAUAUGAUUUUUAUUUAUGUGAUGUUAGUUUGAUCCAACUGGAAUUCGUAGUGUUGAAGAAUGAUGCCACAUGAUGUAAAUAGGUUUGAUUUAAGUGAUAUUGUGCAUGUUGUUCAUAGAAACGUAUGCUGUUCUUGCACAUUGAUCGAAGACAAGCAUGCUGGUGUUGUUGCAGACUCAUAGUUGUUAUAUUUCAUGUAUUUUCCAUAAUCAUGUAUGGAUAUUUCUAUUUACUGCUUUAAACCAUGCCUAAUAUCAUUAGAAUUCAUUACCCAUAGUAUGUCCCAUAACAAGAGAUUUGCAGCCAAGUAUCAAUUGUCAUGCAGAUAUUGAGUUCAACACUUCAGCUACCUCAAUUGCACAUGAGAAAAAUGAUACUUCUAAGUGCCCGAAAUGAUACUUCUAAUUGCACAUGUGAUUUACUAAACAUAUUUUGGUUUAUGAUCCCCUUUGGCGUACACUUGUGCCCGCCCCAUUAUUUUCAGUUUGCAAAUUUUUUUGAAAGAAAGGGGGUUUCCCUCGAUUUCAUUAACGAACCCAUAAAUCUGUUUAUUACAGCCAGAACGCACCCAUCAGUUUGCAAAAUAGUAGGUAAGGAACGACAGAAAGUGGAUUGUUCAGUUUUUCAAGCAUAAUGGCACACCUAAUUUUGGCAGAUCACUUGGCUUUGAGGUUUUCGCAUGACUAUAUGAGGUUCUCAUAAACUCAUGUAUUGCCACAAUAUCUUCUUUUAAUGUACUAGGGAAUUGUCUUUUUUAUCUCAGGUAAAUAGCUCCUUUCUCACCCGUUUUUCCAGACUGAGAUCAAGAUAGGGAGGGAGGGAGCUUUGGUUAGGUCGAGGUUGGAGGAUAUACACGCUCAUUGUGGCUGCAAUUUGUACAUGACAAUACAUAGAUUGGAAUUGAGAUUUGGAGCCAUUUUGUUGGUUUUUGCUUUGUACUGAUGCUGCCAUUAUUUGUGUGAUGGUGUCAUUAUUGUACAGAGGGAAGGGACAGUGAGAGAGAUGGGUAGAAAUUUCUAUUUUUGUUGUAAUUAUUUGUUGUCCAAGCUUAUUAUUUAUUGGUUGUUGUAGGUUGUUGUGAUGGAAAGUUAACAGUACUUUUGAUUAUUUCAAGGCAAUGUCAGAUUUAAUAAUUUGAACUA